RNAcentral lists this ribosomal RNA (468 nucleotides) under uncultured bacterium. RNAcentral's name for it is "partial 16S ribosomal RNA". It matches the Rfam family "Bacterial small subunit ribosomal RNA", at positions 28 to 507 of the family's 1533-position model. The record is from RNAcentral.
AACGAACGCUGGCGGCAUGCUUAACACAUGCAAGUCGAACGGAAAGGUCCUGCUUUUGUGGGGUGGUCGGGGUGCGAACGGGUGAGUUACACGUGAGUUACCUACCCUUGACUGUGGGAGAACUUCAGGCCAGUGGAUCUAUUACCAGCUAAGAUCUACUGCUGUUGGGUGGGCGUUGGUAAGUUUCGGUGGUUGGUGAUGUACUAGCGGCUUAUCAGGUUGUUGGAGGGGUAGUGGCUGAGCAAGGCCUUGACCGGUAGCCGUGCUGGGAGGGUGACAGGCCCCAUUGGGACUGAGAUAAGGCACAGACUCCAACGGGAGGCAGCAGUGGGGAAUAUAGCACAAUGGGCGGAAGCAUGAUGCAGCAACGCAGCGUGCGGGAUGACGGCAUUCGGGUUGUAAACCGCUUUCGCCUGUGACGAAGCGUGAGUGGCGGUAAUGGGUAAAGAAGCACCGGCUAACUACGUG